GGGUCUGUUUGUCCUCCCCUUUUCCUAGUUUCUUAGUUUGUUUUCCUUUAGUUAGUUUUAUUUCCACCUGUCCCUGGAACCACCACUUCUCAAGACAUCCAGCAGAUGUCACCCAUGCUCCACCCCUGAGAAGUGUCCUGGUUCAACCCGGACACACACCUGCAGCUGGUUUAGAGGGCGUGGACCUGCGAUAUAAGCAGCAGCUACACUCCGUCUCACCGCCUGAGUGUUUGCCUACCACGGUAACCAGCGUUCCAGAAAGAGGCCUUCUGUGAUUACUCUCGUCUAACCCUUGUUGUCUCCCUCGCCAGAUUCUCCCGCCGUCUUCUAGUUGUUUCCCGGAAACCAGCUGCCCCCCGCAUUCGUGUAAGUCUGUCUCCCCGCUGUGGAUCACCUCCCUCCUGUGUGAUUUCCCGACGCUGCCGGUGUUCCCGGUCAGACGCCACUCCCUGUGUGUGUGUGCGUGAUCUCCCCUCGUCGAUCCCUCCCCGGGAUUUCCCCUUCGGGACGCUACGGGCCAGGAGGCCCACGCCCGAACUUCCCGGAGGACCGCCUGGACGGAUCAGGCUCCAGGCCGUGCCCGACAUCAGAGCUAAGCAUCGCUCGUCAACGGACACUCGGCUCGCGCUCCGCUUCGCCCCUAAUACCUCCACGCCAAUAGAAGAACCGGUCCGCCGAUUCGGCUUCGCCACCAGCUCCCUGAUCCUUCAAUAAACAUUAUUGUUUCUGA
Non-coding RNA from Poecilia reticulata (guppy), 730 nucleotides. The record is from RefSeq and is a predicted model, not a curated record. NCBI's taxonomy places the organism in Eukaryota, Metazoa, Chordata, Actinopteri, Cyprinodontiformes, Poeciliidae.